Molecule: ribosomal RNA, 253 nt
Filed under: uncultured bacterium
Lineage: Bacteria
Description: partial 16S ribosomal RNA
Rfam family: Bacterial small subunit ribosomal RNA
Source: RNAcentral
CACGUAGGGCGCAAGCGUUGUCCGGAAUUAUUGGGCGUAAAGAGCUCGUAGGCGGUCUGUUGCGUCCGCUGUGAAAACUCGGGGCUUAACCCCGAGCCUGCAGUGGAUACGGGCAGACUAGAGGUAGGUAGGGGAGAAUGGAAUUCCCGGUGUAGCGGUGAAAUGCGUAGAUAUCAGGAGGAAUACCGAUGGCGAAGGCAGGUCUCUGGGCUGACACUGACGCUCAUGCACGAAAGCGUGGGGGGCAAACAGG